Molecule: long non-coding RNA, 99 nt
Organism: Gopherus evgoodei (Goodes thornscrub tortoise)
Lineage: Eukaryota; Metazoa; Chordata; Testudines; Testudinidae
Exons: 4
Source: RefSeq, a predicted model, not a curated record
AAAAAUAGUUGUGCAUUUCUAUUACAGAUUAUGUAUUCCUUAUGCCAUCCGAUCUUAAACCGAACUUUGCACCCCUCGAUAAUCUGUACGUUAUUCCCU